RNAcentral lists this ribosomal RNA (253 nucleotides) under uncultured bacterium. RNAcentral's name for it is "partial 16S ribosomal RNA". It matches the Rfam family "Bacterial small subunit ribosomal RNA", at positions 524 to 776 of the family's 1533-position model. The record is from RNAcentral.
GACGAACCGUGCGAACGUUGUUCGGAAUCAUUGGGCUUAAAGGGUGCGUAGGCGGAGGCUCAGGUCCCGGGUGAAAUCCCACGGCUCAACCGUGGACGUGCCUUGGAAACCGGGUCUCUGGAGGGAGGUAGGGGCACGCGGAACUUCCGGUGGAGCGGUGAAAUGCAUAGAGAUCGGAAGGAACACCGAUGGCGAAAGCAGCGUGCUGGACCUCAUCUGACGCUGAGGCACGAAAGCUAGGGUAGCGAACGGG